UACGUAGGUGGCGAGCGUUGUCCGGAUUUAUUGGGUUUAAAGGGUGCGUAGGCGGCUUAUUAAGUCAGUGCUGAAAUACCCCGGCUUAACCGGGGGGGUGGCAUUGAUACUGAUGAGCUUGAGUACAGACGAGGUAGGCGGAAUCGACGGUGUAGCGGUGAAAUGCAUAGAUAUCGUCAAGAACACCGAUAGCGAAGGCAGCUUACUAGGCUGUAACUGACGCUGAUGCACGAAAGUGUGGGGAUCAAACAGG
This 253-nucleotide ribosomal RNA is filed under the name uncultured bacterium. RNAcentral's name for it is "partial 16S ribosomal RNA". It matches the Rfam family "Bacterial small subunit ribosomal RNA", at positions 524 to 776 of the family's 1533-position model. The record is from RNAcentral.